RNAcentral lists this transfer RNA (72 nucleotides) under Azotobacter chroococcum. Its description in RNAcentral is "tRNA-Met". It matches the Rfam family "tRNA". From Rfam's summary of the family: Transfer RNA (tRNA) molecules are approximately 80 nucleotides in length. Their secondary structure includes four short double-helical elements and three loops (D, anti-codon, and T loops). RNAcentral also lists the same sequence under 1 other name. The record is from RNAcentral. Lineage: Bacteria; Pseudomonadati; Pseudomonadota; Gammaproteobacteria; Pseudomonadales; Pseudomonadaceae.
UGCGUGGUGGAGCAGUGGUAGCUCGUCGGGCUCAUAACCCGAAGGUCGGCGGUUCGAGUCCGUCCCUCGCAU